Molecule: non-coding RNA, 122 nt
Filed under: Peptococcaceae bacterium
Lineage: Bacteria; Bacillati; Bacillota; Clostridia; Eubacteriales; Peptococcaceae
Description: MoCo sequence
Rfam family: Molybdenum/Tungsten riboswitch aptamer (Moco RNA motif)
Source: RNAcentral
AAUCUAAAUAAUCUCCGAGCCCAGUUUGCCUAAAGCGGGAUCGCCAGGGCGUUCGGGCCGACAGGGUACGAUAGGAAACCGUCGUGCCUCCCAUUGCGGAAAGGAGAAUGUAACGAUCGGCU